This 294-nucleotide long non-coding RNA is filed under the name Nicotiana benthamiana. RNAcentral's name for it is "long non-coding RNA (NBEN_LNC031239)". Lineage: Eukaryota; Viridiplantae; Streptophyta; Magnoliopsida; Solanales; Solanaceae. The record is from RNAcentral.
AGGAGGAGAAUUGGGCAAGGCAGCUUGACUGAAAGAAGGUGUUGAAGGUUUAUGUGUAUUGACACUGAAGGACAUAGAGUCAGGAUUGAACUGGGAGACAGACUGAACUUGUCUCUGUUUUUCAUCGUUGGGGAGAAUGUUAAAGACACUGUCAAGACUAGGAGGAGGUUGCAUCAUUAACAAGUUGCUCCUCACCCCCAUAUAUGUUUCAUUAAGACCCAUGAGGAAUUGAAACACCUUAUUCUCCUCAUCCUCCUUUAUAAUGCCAGGUUUGGCAGCACAGAUACAUCUCUG